RNAcentral lists this transfer RNA (88 nucleotides) under Chthonomonadaceae bacterium. RNAcentral's name for it is "tRNA-Ser". It matches the Rfam family "tRNA". Rfam says of the family: Transfer RNA (tRNA) molecules are approximately 80 nucleotides in length. Their secondary structure includes four short double-helical elements and three loops (D, anti-codon, and T loops). The record is from RNAcentral. Lineage: Bacteria; Bacillati; Armatimonadota; Chthonomonadia; Chthonomonadales; Chthonomonadaceae.
GGAGGAGUGGCAGAGUGGUCGAUUGCGGCGGUCUUGAAAACCGUUUUAGGGCAACCUAACGUGGGUUCGAAUCCUACCUCCUCCGCCA